UGUGGUCAGUCGCUCGAGGAGGGCCUCGACAAUCAUGAGGUGCGCCAGCGACCGGUGUCCAGCGCACUGGAUACUGCGGGAUGGGAUUUAUUACUCUAAGUAAUUCAAAAACUGCGAUUUCGACACUCAACGUUUAAAGCUGGACCGACGAUUGGGCAGCACAAUCAUUCCCCUACUCCCUGGGUGCUUAAUUGCAAUACAAUGUUCCAGGAACUAAAGAGGAGGGCUUCAGAGGAGAGUAUUCCUCUGAAUGCCAUAUAUGAGGAAGAAGCUGCCAGAUAUCCGGAUGCUGCAUCUCACCUGCUCUACGAGAGUGUGCUGCCCUCGAUGCGGAAGUGGAGGAGAAACUCACAGCCGGCUCAGCCACUCACCUUGGAGGAAUAUGCGGUGGCCUAAUAAGGCUUGUUAAGUCCUGUUCUUUUCGCCACUGUGUCGGUGGCGGAAGGAAAAGCUGUCAUAUUAGUCAUGCGCGGUUUCGAACGUUGCAUCGCUGACAGUGAAGUGCUAGUCAUCGAUGGAACAUUCCUGACUGUCCCAGCUGGAUUGUCAAUUUGCCAAAUUUUAACGGUACACAGUAUAAUUGCUGGACACAAUUUUCAUCCUGCUGUAGUCCUGAUGCAGAACCGUCCUCUGUAUGAGGCAGUUUUCCUUAGAAUUUGGCAAGCAGCUGGCAAUCCAAGACCACAACAAAUUAUAACAGAUUAGAGAGUGCAAACGAGCAGAUUGUUGGACGUAGGCAUUGAGGCUGUUGUAGAUGACGUCCCAGAAUUCGCUCAAGAAGUUGUCAUUGCAGACAACAUUGAGCAGGUAGCACCGGAGGUGGUCCAGGCUCCUAUUCUGGUACCCGCCGAUGUCCUGCCCGCGUCUCCCCCCCGCGUCUCCCCCCCGCCACGAUAAUGAUCGCGAACCUCAACCCCUUCGUUGCAACAUCUGUGCGACUAACUCACUCGAAGUGGU
Long non-coding RNA from Papilio machaon (common yellow swallowtail), 957 nucleotides. RefSeq lists it as uncharacterized. The record is from RefSeq and is a predicted model, not a curated record. Lineage: Eukaryota; Metazoa; Arthropoda; Insecta; Lepidoptera; Papilionidae. The transcript is spliced from 3 exons.